This 329-nucleotide unclassified non-coding RNA is filed under the name soil metagenome. RNAcentral describes it as "partial contains 5.8S ribosomal RNA, internal transcribed spacer 2, and large subunit ribosomal RNA". The stretch from base 1 to 120 matches the Rfam family "5.8S ribosomal RNA", at positions 35 to 154 of the family's 154-position model. The record is from RNAcentral.
GAUGAAGAACGUAGCGAAAUGCGAUAAGUAAUGUGAAUUGCAGAAUUCAGUGAAUCAUCGAAUCUUUGAACGCACAUUGCGCCCCUUGGUAUUCCGAGGGGCAUGCCUGUUCGAGCGUCAUUAUAACCCCUCAAGCUCAGCUUGGUGUUGGGGCCUGCUGCACUGGCAGCCCUUAAAAUCAGUGGCGGCGCCAUCUGGCUCUAAGCGUAGUAAUUCUUCUCGCUAUGGAGUCCUGGUGGAUGCUUGCCAUCAACCCCCAAUUGUUCUAUGGUUGACCUCGGAUCAGGUAGGGAUACCCGCUGAACUUAAGCAUAUCAAUAAGCGGAGGA